Molecule: ribosomal RNA, 253 nt
Filed under: uncultured bacterium
Lineage: Bacteria
Description: partial 16S ribosomal RNA
Rfam family: Bacterial small subunit ribosomal RNA
Source: RNAcentral
UACGGGGGGGGCAAGCGUUGUUCGGAAUUACUGGGCGUAAAGGGCUCGUAGGUGGCCAACUAAGUCAGACGUGAAAUCCCUCAGCUUAACUGGGGAACUGCGUCUGAUACUGGAUGGCUUGAGAUUGGGAGAGGGAUGUGGAAUUCCAGGUGUAGCGGUGAAAUGCGUAGAUAUCAGGAGGAACACCGGUGGCGAAGGCGGAUCUCUGGGCCAUUACUGACGCUGAGGAGCGAAAGCGUGGGGAGCGAACAGG